AUUGAACGCUGGCGGAAGGCCUAACACAUGCAAGUCGAGCGAGCGGCGGACGGGUGAGUAAUGUAUGGGGACUGCCCGAUAGAGGGGGAUAACUACUGGAAAAGGUUGCUAAUACCGCAUACUAUUCGAUAACCCAUAUGGGAUUAGCUAGUAGGUGAGGUAAUGGCUCACCUAGGCGACGAGCCCUAGCUUGUCUGAGAGGAUGAUCAGCCACACUGUGACUGAGACACGGCCCAGACUCAUACGGAGGCAGCAGGGGGGAAUAGUGCACAAUGGGCGAAAGCCUGAUGCAGCGACGCCGCGUGGGGGAGGAAGGCUUUCGGGUUGUAAACCUCUUUCGCUAGCGAACGGGUAGGUGGAGAAGAAGCGCCGGCUAACUACGUGCCAGCCGCCGCGGUAAUUC
This 403-nucleotide ribosomal RNA is filed under the name uncultured bacterium. Its description in RNAcentral is "partial 16S ribosomal RNA". It matches the Rfam family "Bacterial small subunit ribosomal RNA", at positions 30 to 526 of the family's 1533-position model. The record is from RNAcentral.